UACGAAGGGUGCAAACGUUGCUCGGAAUUAUUGGGCGUAAAGCGCACGUAGGCGGCUUUGCAAGUCCCAUGUGAAAUCCCACGGCUCAACCGUGGAAGUGCAUGGGAAACUGCAGAGCUUGAGUACUUAAGAGGAUCGCGGAAUUCCCGGUGUAGAGGUGAAAUGCGUAGAUAUCGGGAGGAACACCAGUGGCGAAGGCGGCGAUCUGGGAAGAUACUGACGCUGAGGUGCGAAAGCGUGGGGAGCAAACAGG
Molecule: ribosomal RNA, 253 nt
Filed under: uncultured bacterium
Lineage: Bacteria
Description: partial 16S ribosomal RNA
Rfam family: Bacterial small subunit ribosomal RNA
Source: RNAcentral